UGACAAGAGAGAUAUUAGAGUAAUGAAGGUUACUGCAGUUGACUCUAAAAUAGGGAGAUUUUCCUUGAUUAUCUGGCUGAGCCCAAUGUGAUCAUGUGAGUCCCUAAAAGCAAAAGAGGAAGGCAGAGGUAGAAAGCAGAAAUAUAUGAGACACAUAAAUUCGUCACUUUGCCUUUGCAUAUUUGACAGUGAAAGGGACUACUUGAGCAGGAAGUGAAUUCUUCCACAAUGCGAAUCAUCUUGGAAGUGGAUUCUUCCCCAGGGUCUCCAGAAAGGAACAUAAUUCUUUCUGCCUUGGUGUUUGCCUUGUAGGACCCUAAGCAGAGAACCCAGAGGAGCCAAGUAGUGCACUAAAUUCUGAUCCAGGGGAAAUUAUGAGAUGUGUAUUGGUUUAAGAUGUUAACUUUGUGGAAAUUUGUGACAACAGCAAUGGAAAACCAUCACAGAAGGAAACUCAGAAGCAAGUGUUCCAAACAGCCUUUAGUAAAGUGUCAUCCUUGGCUGUGCUGUUUUCUCCAGGAAGUUUUAUUUCAUAUUUUAGGCUCUGUUUGUCUCCCACUUCUUGCCUAUUCAUCUGGGGAACCUGAUAAAAAUGGUUAUUCUCUCCUAAACACAGCAAGGUGAUGUGCAGUAUGAUCCAGAGCUCCAGAAAGAAACAAGUUUUGGCUUUCACCUUGCCUGCAGCUUUGUGAGACCCCGUGGAGUGGACCCACGUUGUUAGUACCUGAACUCCUCACCCUGGAAUCAGUGAGAUAAUAAAUGUGUAUUUUCUUAAAGCACA
Mustela erminea (ermine) is the source of this 781-nucleotide long non-coding RNA. RefSeq lists it as uncharacterized. The transcript has 2 exons. Lineage: Eukaryota; Metazoa; Chordata; Mammalia; Carnivora; Mustelidae. The record is from RefSeq and is a predicted model, not a curated record.